CCUACGGGUGGCAGCAGUGAGGAAUAUUGGUCAAUGGGCGGAAGCCUGAACCAGCCAAGUAGCGUGCGGGAUGAAGGCCCUACGGGUCGUAAACUGCUUUUGCACGGGGAUAAAACCCUCCAUUUAUGCUGGUCUGCAGGUACCGUACGAAUAAGGGCCGGCUAAUUCCGUGCCAGCAGCCGCGGUAAUACGGAAGGCCCGAGCGUUAUCCGGAUUCAUUGGGCUUAAGGGGAGCGUAGGCGGGCGGUAAAGUCAGUUGUAAAAUCGCGGGGCUAAACCGCGCCCCGCAGUUGAAACUGGACGCCUUGAGUUCACAACAGGCAGGCGGAAUUCGUGGUGUAGCGGUGAAAUGCAUAGAUAUCACGAGGAACCCCGAUUGCGAAGGCAGCCUGCCGGGGUGCGACUGACGCUGAUGCUCGAAGGUGCGGGUAUCAAACAGGAUUAGAUACCCUUGUAGUC
RNAcentral lists this ribosomal RNA (459 nucleotides) under uncultured bacterium. Its description in RNAcentral is "partial 16S ribosomal RNA". It matches the Rfam family "Bacterial small subunit ribosomal RNA", at positions 338 to 795 of the family's 1533-position model. The record is from RNAcentral.